Molecule: long non-coding RNA, 499 nt
Filed under: Cavia porcellus (domestic guinea pig)
Lineage: Eukaryota; Metazoa; Chordata; Mammalia; Rodentia; Caviidae
Description: lncRNA (ENSCPOG00000031106.1)
Source: RNAcentral
CCAUGUUUUCCCUGAUAAUCUCUCAUCUUUUUUGUUUGCUUGUUUUUGUUUGUUUGACACAAGGUCUCACUGCCCAGGCUGGUUUCAGACUCAAAUGAUCCUCCUGCCUCAGCCUCCUGUAUAGCUGGUUCCAGGGCAUGCGACACCAUAUUCUGCUCUUACAAUUUCUCAUCUUUAAGAAAAUUUCUCAUCUUUACUUAUAUGAGGCAGUACAGAUGCAAAUCAUAACAUUUACAGAUUUCUGUAAACAGCAAGUUCGCGGGAAGCACCUUAGAGUCAGACUGUGGACAAGAAGGCGCGGCGCAGCACACGUAAGAACAAGUCCCAGAAUCCCACUCGGACUCCAGAUCCCAGAAUCCCGCACCGCAAAAUCUAACCCGGGUGCCAAAUAGGCUGACCGCGGACGCGACCAAAUUGGAAACCGGGUGAGAUGCUACUGCAUGUGCCCCCUACCAUUUUUCCUGAAGGGAAGGGGCUUCUAUAGAAAUGCAUUCGUGAA